CCUACGGGUGGCAGCAGUGGGGAAUAUUGGACAAUGGGGGGAACCCUGAUCCAGCCAUGCCGCGUGUGUGAAGAAGGCCCUCGGGUUGUAAAGCACUUUCAGUGAGGAAGAACGCCUGGUGGUUAAUACCCAUCAGGAAAGACAUCACUCACAGAAGAAGCACCGGCUAACUCCGUGCCAGCAGCCGCGGUAAUACGGAGGGUGCGAGCGUUAAUCGGAAUUACUGGGCGUAAAGCGCGCGUAGGUGGCUUGAUAAGCCGGUUGUGAAAGCCCCGGGCUCAACCUGGGAACGGCAUCCGGAACUGUCAAGCUAGAGUGCAGGAGAGGAAGGUAGAAUUCCCGGUGUAGCGGUGAAAUGCGGAGAGAUCGGGAGGAGUACCAGUGGCGAAGGCGGCCUUCUGGACUGACACUGACACUGAGGUGCGAAAGCGUGGGUAGCAAACAGGAUUAGAUACCCUAGUAGUC
This 465-nucleotide ribosomal RNA is filed under the name Vreelandella stevensii. RNAcentral's name for it is "partial 16S ribosomal RNA". It matches the Rfam family "Bacterial small subunit ribosomal RNA", at positions 338 to 795 of the family's 1533-position model. Lineage: Bacteria; Pseudomonadati; Pseudomonadota; Gammaproteobacteria; Oceanospirillales; Halomonadaceae. The record is from RNAcentral.